AGAGCUAGCAAUCCAUCACAUGACAUGAAUACUAUAAGAAUGAAAAAUUUCCUAUAAUGUCUCAUACCCUCUCGCCUAUAAGUGUGGCGCACUUCACACCUAUGAACAAGACUCUACUUAACGUGGCUUCUAAAUACCCUAGGACACUUAAACCUUGUGAUCUGAUACUAAGUUUGUCAUGAAUUGAGACUUUCCCCUAAUCAAAAUACGGU
This 212-nucleotide long non-coding RNA is filed under the name Capsicum annuum. Its description in RNAcentral is "long non-coding RNA (CANN_LNC015988)". Lineage: Eukaryota; Viridiplantae; Streptophyta; Magnoliopsida; Solanales; Solanaceae. The record is from RNAcentral.